RNA transcript from Pectinophora gossypiella (pink bollworm), 5177 nucleotides. It is a transcript of the gene named abl interactor 2, with no coding region annotated. NCBI's taxonomy places the organism in Eukaryota, Metazoa, Arthropoda, Insecta, Lepidoptera, Gelechiidae. The transcript is spliced from 10 exons. The record is from RefSeq and is a predicted model, not a curated record.
CUCAACAAACACAAAUAUUGUGAGAACGUUGAGGUGGGGUUGCAUUUUUCUAUUUUUACAGGGAAAAUGCAUUUAAUUUAUUGUUUUUAAAGAAAAAUCUUAACCUGUGAGUAAAUACAUCGACGUAAACGGUGUAACUACUGCAUAUUCGGUCAAUAAGCAUAAAAAUGGCAGAAUUAGCAGCUUUAUUGCAAACCGAAAUCCCCGAGGGGAGGAACCACCUCACCGACAGCCACACAAACCUCGAACGGGUGGCAGAAUACUGCGAAGCCAACUACUUUCAGUCUGAAAAUAAAAGACUUGCAUUGGAAAGCACGAAGAAUUACACAACGCAGUCUUUAGCUAGCGUUGCCUAUCAGAUCAACACACUGGCAUAUAACUUCCUUCAGCUAUUGGAACUCCAAACUAUGCAGCUAGCGGAGAUGGAAGGUCAAAUGAACCAUAUUGCUCAGACGGUAGCCAUUCAUAAGGAGAAGGUGGCUCGGCGUGAGAUUGGAGUGCUAACCGCCAAUAAAGUUACUAAUAGACAGUACAAGAUCAUUGCUCCAGCCAAUCCUGAAAAGCCUAUCAAGUAUGUCAGGAAGAGCAUAGACUAUACAGCUCUGGACGACAUCGGGCACGGCGCGCGCUGGCUGAGCGGUGCCACAGGCACGCCUCGCGGACGGCGAUCGGGCUCCGCCCCCGGGGCCGCGCCCGCGCCUGCCAACACGCUACCAGCGCCCACCACCAAGCCGCCCACGCCUCCUGCUGCUGUUAGGGCUGCUUCAGCUGCUAACACCGGCACACUGGGCCGUGGCACUCUUGGCAAGUCGUCCCGCGAGUAUCGCACGCCGCCCGCCGUGGCCCCGCCCCAGGUGCCCUCGCACUACGCGCCCAACUACCCGCGCCGCCCGCCCUCAUACUCCACGCUGCCCGUUGCGCAGCCGCAGGUCGGCAUGGUUCAUCCAAAUCAGCACCAAAAUACUACAACUUACUCGCAACAAGAUAUGCACUCGAGCAUGCCACCGCCACCGUCUCCGCUGAUCGGUUCUGACGGCGAGCAUAGCCAGCACUCCAUGAAUCUACCCGGACAGCGCGCGUCGUCGUCGUCGGCGUCGGGUCGCGGCGGGUCGGCGUCCCCGCCGCUGCCGCCGCCGCCGCUGGACGACGAGCUGCUGCACGACGGCUUCGGCCGCCACCACCACGCCGCGAGCAAGAUGGGCGGUCAGUACGCAGGCGCGGUGCCAGCCAUAGUGCCCGACGAAGAGGACCUCCCCGGCUGGGUGCCCAAGAACUACAUUGAAAAAGUGGUGGCGAUCUACGACUAUUACGCGGACAAGGAAGACGAACUCUCCUUCCAAGAGUCGUCAGUCAUCUACGUGCUGAAGAAGAAUGACGACGGGUGGUGGGAAGGCGUCAUGGAUGGGGUCACGGGCCUGUUCCCCGGGAACUAUGUCGAGCCCUGCGUCUAAACCAGGACGGAUUUCAUACGAGUAACGGUGCUGGUUUCUGCAGACAACAACCUAAUUUUUGAUAUUCAGUUCGACUGUGGCACAUAAGCCACCUAUACACGUCCCAUUGCUAGGUAGAGGCUUCUCGAGCAACCGGAGGGGAUAUGGACCAUACUCCACCACGCCGUAGGCUUAACCUCAGAAGCGGAAUCAUCUUACUUUUUCCGACAUUGUAAUUCAAGCCUGCAAUGUCCUUAAACAAUGGUUAGUCUCACAAAGUGAUUUAGACAAUGUCCCCAUCGGGAAUCGAACCAGACCUCUAUAUCGUGAGCUUAACGCUCUAAUCACUACACCAGGCUGUAUGUCUAAUUUUAAAUCAUACCUGUAAUUUUCUUAUAUGCUGAAAAGAACAGGUACAUGUAAUCAAUAAAAUUUAAUUUUAUAGAACACAUUCAAACCAUCUUAAAAUUUUAUAUUGGCCAAUAACCCGACAGAAUUAAGUUGACAGCACACGUUAAUCAGGUUACAUAUAAGCGAGAUGCCUAGCUGGCAAUCAGCCGUCCCUUGCCUUUUCGGCGGACAAAUGUCAGAUAUACAUAUCUUAAACAAAAAUGAGACGUGUCUGCAGGGAUCAGGGCCAAUUCUAAAACUAGCUUUAUCUCUAUCUGGCACUCGUCUUAUGCAAAGGACGGCACUAUUAUUAGAGCUAUCAGAGGGGUUUUAUAAAAGCGAAUUCAUUCUUUAUCGGUAGAAAAUACAAUGCAGAUUUCACUGUCAAUACAAAAAUAGGUUUUAGAAAGAAGUACAUGACACUUAACCAUCCACAUACAUGGGAGUUAAACAUAGCUGGCAAGGGGCGCCUACCCCUUUAGGGAGACACGCGUGAUGCUAUGUUAACAAGUACAUGACAUCGAGGUUUAUAUGAAACCGUUUUUUAAAGCGUGUGAUUUGAAUAUAAUUCCAGGCGCUGUCCAAAUUUGUCUUCAUCUAACCUUCUAAUUUCAUAAAUAACAGAUAUAUGCAUCUUUUAUCUUUGUAUUUGGGUAUAAAUGAUGACUCUUGUUACUAUUACACCCGGACACAACACAUCUUUCACCCAUUAUUAUUCAGAUCAAAACAAAGAGAAGCAUUAUAGGUAGCAACAUAAUUAUAUACAUAUAUGAUCCAAAUAUCUAGCAACAAUUAUUUUUACAUAUGUCUCUGCUAUUACUAACCCGAAUAGCAGAACAAGGAGAAAAUAGGUAAUUAUCACAUUAAAUCUCAACAGCGCCCUCUAUAUGUUUUUAUCAUUUUCUGCGCAUAUAAUAAUGUCUGAAGAAGCGCCAUUUACAAUAACCCAAAGAUAAACAGUACUAUUAAAAUGUUCUUAUUGCUAUUCUCAUGAAAAAGUAAUACUGAUCAAAUGAUUACUUGUAAAAUGUUGGGGAUCGAUAGAAUUAUUAUAGUGUAAACAAAAUGCUAGAGUUUAAUAUAAGUUACAUAAGGUGCAUGCAGCAUCGUACAUCGCCUAUAUUAUAUAAUAUUAAAUAUUAUUCCAUAAAAUAAGAUUUUUAGUUUUAUUAAUUUAUCUCUGUUUACUGCCAUGUACUGAUGUAUUCGCAUAUAUUUAUGAAUAUUUAGUUACGAUUUUAUUGUUAAAGUAUGCUACAGAUGUUAUUUGAAAGUUGUCCGAGGGUUGUCCAUAUCUGGUAGCAACUAUAACGCUAGCGUGCUUAAGCGUGCUGACGCAUGCUAUAGCUUCUUCGAUUCCGCUGCGUGCGGUUGCUCUCUCUCGCUCUAGCAAAUGACGGUUCUGUGUAACAGAAAAGGAUAGAAGCAUACCAAAGGAUAAAAGUGUUAUGAGGGGCUGACAGAUGUGGUUAAACCCUAAAGAAUCAAGAGUUUUAACAGGUCAUUGGUUUCCAGUUUCCACACAAAAGAUGCCACCAUUUUAGGUUUUCAAAUUCAUAUUAAGUGUUAUUUCGGAUAUUUUUUUUACAUAGUUGUUAGUAACUUAUGAACUAUGUUAGUAACACAAAAAAAAACAUACAAUUAGGUUGUCACCCCUCCGGACUCGUGGUCACACCAGGUUGUCACACCAGUAUGACAAAUAGGAAUUUUAUUCUUGUUUGUCACACCGCUAACAAUACAACACCUUUUAUCACACCAUUGUUAGUGCGGAGAAUAUCCCUAUGAUAAAAAAUAUAUCGAUAUUUGCCAUAAGGCAUUAUAAUUUGUGCAAAGAGAUUAAUUAUGUUUAAUAGCGCAUUCUUUUUGUUUAUUCCUAUCUUCUAUUACUGGCGAUCUAAUGGAUUUUUCCAUAAUUACCAGAUUUUUUUUUGUUUUGAUAAUAAGUUAUAUUAUCGCAUUAACUACUUAGCCGGACAAAUGGGGAGCGCUGAAGGCUCUAACCCGGUACAACAUUUAAGACAACAGGCCUGAGGGUGCCCAAUUGGGCGCGAACCUCGGCUCAAGGCUUCGUCUGAGAGGAAAAAUGUUUGAAAGAAUUAAUCGACCGUAGUGGGUCGAUAAUAAUAAGUGGAGUGGGUAAAUAAAAUCAAUUUUUAUUUAUAAACACAGCACUACUUAUAAUGACAAGUCAGGAUAAAAGGUGUUGUAUUGUUAGCGGUGUGACAAACAAGAAAAAAAAUCCUGUUUGUCAUACUGGUGUGACAACCUGGUGUGACCACGAGUCCGUAAGGUUCUCAACGACACGGCUCCCCAUCUAUCACGUUGGUCUAACAGAAAGCUCGGUGAGGUUUGGGCACUGUACGGUCACGAGUACUAUUAUGUACAUACACUUUGAAACCAUGUCACAUUAACAUUUUUGACAAAUUAACCUCGUCUGCCGGAACGCAGACCUCGACCAGACACAAUGUAAAUUUAUUGUGUCUUGUGUCUCGGCAGAUAAGAGGUUAAACCGUAAGUCUCCAUGUCAAAUAUGAUAGUGCGACAGAGUUCUAAAGUGGGUACAUGACAUUGCUCAUGACUGUACAUCUUUUAUGUAACCUCUGACUAGCCCAAUUAACAAUAUAGUCGUGAACUUGUUAUGUAUUUCCACUAGUAACACCUGUAGCAUGCGUCUUAUACUCUUGUAAUUAUCUAGGUGCAAAUAAUGAGAUGGCUAUUUGAUAUAAUCUUUAUAAGUAUAGGGUCUUCAUGAUUUUAUAUUAGCCUUAAGAUAUUGGUUCUAAUUCCUGUACACACCGUCUAAUUUUAAAUUAUACCUGUUAUUUUCUUAUCCGCCGAAAAGGAAAGGGACGGGUAAUUGACACAUUUAUGGAACACACGUCAAUUUUAGGCAGAAAUUUAAAAAACCCUCCUAAAAUUUUAUAUUGACAACAUUAUUUUAUAUUGGCAACAUUCGUCAAAAGAGUUGCAUGUCAGCGAGUUGCCAUUUUAUUCGCCCGGGUUAUUCGUUCAUUUUAAAAUAAACUGUUGUCAAUCACCCGUCCGUUUCCUUUACGGCGGAUAAGAAAAUGACAGGCAUAACUUGAAAUAAAAUAAGGAAGUGUCUGCAGGAAUCGGUGCCAUAGUCCUAUUUAAUAAUAUUGCAUCAUUGAUUAGUUAGACGGUUUCCCGUAGCUGUUUAUUAUCGUAAUAUAAAUUCGUUUGUACAGAUGCACUGAGAUUUAUUUCACUGUAGUAAACAAAAAAAUAAGUAUUUUUAUCUGAAUGCUGUUUUAGACAAUAGUAUAAAUAUUUUGCUUUUAAUAUUUGAUUAUUAUCUCUAUCCAGAAAUAUUAAUUAAAGUUAAACGGAAAAUAA